CUUUACAGGUCUGGCAAUUGGAAUGAGAACAAUUUAAAUCCCUUAUCGAGUAUCAAUUGGAGGGCAAGUCUGGUGCCAGCAGCCGCGGUAAUUCCAGCUCCAAUAGCGUAUAUUAAAGUUGCUGCAGUUAAAAAGCUCGUAGUUGGAUUUGUGGUGUGUCCAGUCGGCCUUUGCUCUCUGAGUGAUUGUGCUGUACUGGUCUGCCAUGUUUGGGUGGAAUCUGUGUGGCAUUAAGUUGUCGUGCAGGGGAUGCCCAUCGUUUACUGUGAAAAAAUUAGAGUGUUCAAAGCAGGCUUAUGCCGUUGAAUAUAUUAGCAUGGAAUAAUAAUAUAGGACCUUGGUACUAUUUUGUUGGUUUGCGCACUAAGGUAAUGAUUAAGAGGGACAGUUGGGGGUAUUUGUAUUCCAUUGUCAGAGGUGAAAUUCUUGGAUUUCUGCAAGACGAACUACUGCGAAAGCAUUUAGCAAGGAUGUUUUCAUUAAUCAAGAACGAAAGUUAGGGGAUCGAAGAUGAUUAGAUACCAUCGUAGUCUUAACCAUAAACUAUGCCGACUCGGGAU
RNAcentral lists this ribosomal RNA (560 nucleotides) under uncultured diatom. Its description in RNAcentral is "SSU rRNA". It matches the Rfam family "Eukaryotic small subunit ribosomal RNA", at positions 492 to 1053 of the family's 1831-position model. The record is from RNAcentral. Lineage: Eukaryota; Bacillariophyta.